AGGCAGAAGACCCUGAAAAAUACAUUAAAGCAAGAAAACGCUGAUAAUAUAUUGUCUCUGGUUUGGAGGGUAUUGUCCAUGAAAUCUACACUCACCUGUUCUCUGCCCACCUCCUACAGCCUCAGGACUAGACUGGGUACCUCGUCAGGAAUUGAAAGGAGUAGAAAGAAUGCCGCAGAAACGGAGCCAUACACCACGUCCUUUCCAAGGCUUGCCCUCUGUUGUUCAUCAGAGGGUUCUUGAGGGUCGUCAUUUUGUUACCUAAGUGUAGCAGUGGUCCCUUCCUUUUUGUGGAUGAGCAGGAGUUCCGUAUUCCCAUGCGCAGAUGCAGCCCCAUCUGUCCGUCCCUUCCCCUGGCCACUUCCACUUCUUGCUAAUUUUCAAUUAAAAUGAAGCAA
Long non-coding RNA from Bubalus bubalis (water buffalo), 398 nucleotides. RefSeq lists it as uncharacterized. The transcript has 3 exons. The record is from RefSeq and is a predicted model, not a curated record. NCBI's taxonomy places the organism in Eukaryota, Metazoa, Chordata, Mammalia, Artiodactyla, Bovidae.